This 463-nucleotide ribosomal RNA is filed under the name Chloropicon laureae. RNAcentral describes it as "partial Bacterial small subunit ribosomal RNA". It matches the Rfam family "Bacterial small subunit ribosomal RNA", at positions 931 to 1402 of the family's 1533-position model. The record is from RNAcentral. Lineage: Eukaryota; Viridiplantae; Chlorophyta; Chloropicophyceae; Chloropicales; Chloropicaceae.
GGUGGAGCAUGUGGUUUAAUUCGAUUCAACGCGAAGAACCUUACCAAGAAUUGACAUGCUGCGAACGUUUACGAAAGUAAAAAGUCUAUUAACUUAGUUAAUAGCGCAGACACAGGUGGUGCAUGGUUGUCGUCAGCUCGUGCCGUGAGGUGUUGGGUUAAGUCCCGCAACGAGCGCAACCCUUGUCUUUAGUUAUAUUCUAGAGAGACUGCCGGUGAUAAACCGGAGGAAGGUGAGGAUGACGUCAAAUCAGCAUGCCCCUUACAUCUUGGGCGACUCACGUGCUACAAUGGUCGAGACAAAGAGAUGCUACCCUGCGAAGGCAAGCUAACCUCAAAAACUCGAUCUUAGUUCGGAUUGCAGGCUGCAACUCGCCUGCAUGAAGUUGGAAUCGCUAGUAAUCGCAGGUCAGCCAUACUGCGGUGAAUACGUUCUCGGGUCUUGUACACACCGCCCGUCACAC